UACAAGCUCCAACUUUCUCACCACGAACUACCAACACCUGUUGAUCCCAAAAUCCUCACUCAUACUCACACGCAAGACAAGAUAUGGCAUGCCUUUACUUUGUUGUCGAUUGAGAAGACUUGAGGAUCUAAAUACGCCAUCAUCCAUUAUUAAUAUGAAUCACUGGCCGAGUAGCUCUCUGGGUUCUAGCAACCUACCAACAUCUGUCGAUCCCCAAGUCCUCACUCAUACUCACACGCAAGACAAGAUAUGGCAUGCCUUUACUUUGUUGUCGAUUGAGAAGACUUGAGGAUCUAAAUACGCCAUCAUCCAUUAUUAAUAUGAAUCACUGGCGGAGUAGCUCUCUGGGUUCUAGCAACCUACCAACAUCUGUCGAUCCCCAAGUCCUCACUCAUACUCACACGCAAGACAAGAUAUGGCAUGCCUUUACUUUGUUGUCGAAUGAGAAGACUUGAGGAUCUAAAUACGCCAUCAUGCAUAUUAAUAUGAAUCACUGAUGGAGUAGCUCUCUGGGUUCUGGCAGGAGAGAUGGAGAGGAUGUGAAAUGCUAAGGGGAAAAAACAAGGGCACAGUUCUGAGGUUAUUGAGUUAGCCUGAGAGGAUUUGAAAAGGAUAAAAAUUUACUAAUAUUAAGCAUAUCAAGAAAUUGAAUGAGCUGCUGUUCAACAGGUCGUAAGUAAUUUGAACUUGUGUUGUUGUGCUGGGUUAGGACUUGGUAGAGAUGGAGGCUUUUGAGUUUAGACUUGAAGAUAAAAGGUUUGUAGUUGAAUUGUAUUUGCAUUGGGUUACAUUUGAGGGCAAAGGAAUAACUUUAGUGAUUGGAAUUUAAAAUUUCUGUUGGAGGUUUCCUCGGCAGCAACUUGAGAUGGGUAUGUUUGAGUGGUUAAAUUGUUGGAAAUUAGUUGGAAGAAUUGCUGGUAAUCAAGGUUUAUGUUGAUAUGGUUGAUAAGAGGUAAUAAUUUCGACAAGACUUUGGAUGCUCCACAUUUAUACCCAAAGCACUGUCUGAGCAGAAUCCUGAAACAGAAGUGCAUAAAGAGGGAGGGAACAAAAGGACAGCAGAUCAUAGAGGCAGCUUUGUGGAAGGUCCUCAACUAAAGUAUCAAAUGCCCUGUUUUCUAGGAAAUUGCAACGAUUGUGAUUGUGUCUUUGAAUAUCAAUUCACCUGUAUUUGUGGUAUAAACCUUAAAUUAGAACUUUACUUAACUCAAAACUAGUAAGGAUUUGGUCUCAAAAGCAAAGUAAGCAAUGCCUAAGCUGUAAAGAAUGACAUUAGGUGUAAUGGACAGAUUUGAUCCCUUGGCUUCACCAUAGCUUUGUCAUCAGUUUAUUGUAGUUUGCAAGAGUUGCCUUUCUUGGCAGUGACAAGUUUACACCAUCUUGAUUGAGCUGUAUGAUGUGGUAAUAUUCUAUCGAUGCAGUGCACCUAGAAACUUGCAGGUUUUUCUGAAACGGUUAAUUUUCUUGUUAUCUAGUCCUUUCAUGAACAUGGUCAUCUGUCCUUAAGUGCUUGCUAAGGUUGGAGCCUCUGUUUUUCUGAAACACGCCUUUGAUGAAUUCUUUUAAA
This is a long non-coding RNA of Populus euphratica (Euphrates poplar), 1567 nucleotides long. RefSeq lists it as uncharacterized. NCBI's taxonomy places the organism in Eukaryota, Viridiplantae, Streptophyta, Magnoliopsida, Malpighiales, Salicaceae. The record is from RefSeq and is a predicted model, not a curated record. The transcript is spliced from 2 exons.